UACGAAGGGGGCGAGCGUUGUUCGGAAUUACUGGGCGUAAAGGGCGCGUAGGCGGCGACCCAAGUCAGAUGUGAAAGUCCUGGGCUUAACCUGGGGACUGCAUUUGAUACUGGGUUGCUUGAAUUCGGGAGAGGAUAGCGGAAUUCCCAGUGUAGAGGUGAAAUACGUAGAGAUUGGGAAGAACACCAGUGGCGAAGGCGGCUAUCUGGACGGUUUCUGACACUAAGACUCGAAAGCGUGGGGAGCAAACAGG
Molecule: ribosomal RNA, 253 nt
Filed under: uncultured bacterium
Lineage: Bacteria
Description: partial 16S ribosomal RNA
Rfam family: Bacterial small subunit ribosomal RNA
Source: RNAcentral